UUUCCGUAGGUGAACCUGCGGAAGGAUCAUUACCGAGCGAGGGCCCACUGGGUCCAACCUCCCACCCGUGUCUCUUGUACCCCGUUGCUUCGGGGGGCCCGCCUCACGGCGGCCUGGGGGCGUUACGCCCCCGGGCCCGCGCCCGCCGAAGACACCCACGAACUCUGUCUGAAGAAGGCAGUCUGAGUGAAAUGAUAAAUUAUUUAAAACUUUCAACAACGGAUCUCUUGGUUCCG
Molecule: unclassified non-coding RNA, 236 nt
Filed under: plant metagenome
Description: partial contains small subunit ribosomal RNA, internal transcribed spacer 1, and 5.8S ribosomal RNA
Source: RNAcentral